Molecule: long non-coding RNA, 304 nt
Filed under: Olea europaea subsp. europaea
Lineage: Eukaryota; Viridiplantae; Streptophyta; Magnoliopsida; Lamiales; Oleaceae
Source: RNAcentral
UCUUCAUAGAGAAUCAAUCGUCGAAACAUCUAGAAGGAUUGGCUUAGAACCAUUCAAAUACAUAUAUCUAGUUCGACUUCCCUCUUCGAAUCAAUAAUUGAACUAUUCUUCAGGAAUUCCUUUUUUGUAAGUUCUUUUCUCCCUUCCACUUUCUUUAUCAUUAUUCCACCCCAGUGCAAUCCAAAUGAUCAAAUUAAUUAGGGCGAAUUAUUGUAUAUGCAUAGAAAUAUCAUUAUUUGAUUGAUCUAAACUCGUGUAAUUUAUUAUUUGUUAAUAUUUUCUUUUGGUCAAUUGUUGAAUAAAA